GUGGAGCUGCGCGUGGAGGAGUCCAGGCUGCAGCCGAGGGAGCUGAGUAGGGCAAAGUUAGGAGUCGCUGUUUGGAUGGCAAGUUCAGAAGUUGGAACUUGUCUCAGUUUCCCCGCUCCAGAAAUGGGGUUGUGAUAUAAAGACAGGGAUAUGAGUGAAGAAAACACAGAGCCACCCUGGAAAGCAAAGAAUGAGUGGGGAGAUCUGAGAAUCGAUACUGAACAGCUUCAGUACUACGAUGUCAUAAUGGGGCUGUGAGCUCAGCCGAAAGCCCCCCGCCCAGUUUUUUUUGGAAGUGGUCAUAGAAUCUCUCUGGAGAAACAACAUGGAAAUGGAGACCAAAAGAGGGAAGGAGGGAUGCCACCAGAUGACACUGGGAUCCCGGAAGACGGAACACUGUGUGCAACGGGCAAAGAACUUUUCAAAAGGGAUUUCAACCUCUGACCACCUGGAGACAGGCGACUGGCGCUCAUUGUAAAUGCACCGACAUGACAGGGAACAGCUGCUGGGGAGGUGGAGACGGGUGCCGGGAGAGACAGGAAACCCCAGAGGCUUGGAAAUCCAGGAGCCACAGGAAGCAGUGAGCUUUCUGCGGAGCCGGAUCCGGUGGAGCCAAUUCACCAGCAGGUCCCGGCAGCAACUCUUCUACAACAGAUUCCUGCCCGUCCCUGUGCCCCAUCGCCCCCCUGCCGUCAAUCUCCACCUCAAGGGAGCCAGACCAAGCCUUUCUGUGUGUAGCGCACAUCUCUCCUGCGUAGAGCUCACCUAGUGGCUUCCAUAGCUUUUUUUUUUUUUUUUUUGGAGACAGGGUCUUGCCCUGUCACCCAGGCUGGGGUACGGUGGCAUGAUCAUGGCUCACUGCAGCUCCCUCCUGGGCUCAAGUGAUCCUCCUGCCUCAACCAGCUACUCAGGAGGCUGAGGCAGGAGAAUGGCGUGAACCCGGGAGGCGGAGCUUACAGUGAGCUGAGAUCACACGCCACUGCACUCCAGCCUGGGUGACAGAACGAGACUCCGUCUCAAAAAAAAAAAAAAUGUAAUAAUGGGAGCCUCAUAUGUAAUUGUACAUUUUCUAGCAGUAAGAGGAAAUUAAAUUUAAUAAUAUAUUUUACUUCA
RNAcentral lists this long non-coding RNA (1113 nucleotides) under Homo sapiens (human). RNAcentral describes it as "non-protein coding FAM222A-AS1:6". Lineage: Eukaryota; Metazoa; Chordata; Mammalia; Primates; Hominidae. The record is from RNAcentral.